RNAcentral lists this ribosomal RNA (452 nucleotides) under uncultured bacterium. Its description in RNAcentral is "bacterial SSU rRNA". It matches the Rfam family "Bacterial small subunit ribosomal RNA", at positions 349 to 793 of the family's 1533-position model. The record is from RNAcentral.
CAGCAGUAGGGAAUCUUCACAAUGGGCGCAAGCCUGAUGGAGCAACACCGCGUGAGUGAAGAAGGGUUUCGGCUCGUAAAGCUCUGUUGUUUAAAGAAGAACACGUAUGAGAGUAACUGUUCAUACGUUGACGGUAUUUAACCAGAAAGUCACGGCUAACUACGUGCCAGCAGCCGCGGUAAUACGUAGGUGGCAAGCGUUAUCCGGAUUUAUUGGGCGUAAAGAGAGUGCAGGCGGUUUUCUAAGUCUGAUGUGAAAGCCUUCGGCUUAACCGGAGAAGUGCAUCGGAAACUGGAUAACUUGAGUGCAGAAGAGGGUAGUGGAACUCCAUGUGUAGCGGUGGAAUGCGUAGAUAUAUGGAAGAACACCAGUGGCGAAGGCGGCUACCUGGUCUGCAACUGACGCUGAGACUCGAAAGCAUGGGUAGCGAACAGGAUUAGAUACCCUGGUAG